UGAUGAAUAAAUCUCUACAUUGGUUACUUGAUGAAUGUACCUUAAUCUUAACUCAUAUAAAUUGAUCCUUCUUCAAUCCACUAGGGUUACUAUAUAUUCUACAUUGAUUCCAUCAGUUGUAUUAACAAGGCUAGGGCAAGGAGGUAGAAGUCAAAUUACGACUAACGCUUUCGUUUUUCUCUAUGAUGAUGUCUUCCGCAUCAGGUAUGCUUUCCUUUUUCUCUAUGAAGACGUCUUCCGCAUCAGGUAUGUGCUUUAACAAUAUAAUAUCUACGUAAAAUUAUCUAGUUCAAGAUCCUGAUAUGUAUUAAAGUAUUUAAUCUUAUAUCAAGUCUAAAGUUUUGUUCAAUCAUCGAAACUUUAAAUAUGGAUUAAAAUAACAAAGCCCACACUCAUCGAAAAACAAAAUUACAUCAAACUAAAAGUCCUGUGUGUUUUCCCUUUGAGAAAAAGAGAGAUUGAAUUUCUUUUUUGUUAUGUGAAAAAACUUUUUCAUAGAAGUCGUUCUGCUCUUUUAAUAGAAUACAGGAUAUUUAGGGAUUUUUUAUUUUAUUUUCCUUGGAUAGAUUAUCUAUCCACGUAUAAAUAUCUCUCAUUUUUUUAUUAAUAGAACAUUAAAGAUUGCUCCAUUCUCUCUGUAUUUUACAUGGCAUCAGAGUAUUUCUUUUUGUUUUAUUUUUCUUUUUGAAUCAUUGGUGCCGGAUUGCUCAGGAAAUUAUUCGUAAGUUGGUCAUGUCUGCUAGUGAGGGGUACUUGAAACUUGAUUUUCCAAUUUCAUAGCCAACCUAAGGAGGACCACCUCACCCGAUCCAUAAAAAUCAGGAUUCGGUGACCGGGAGGAAAGAGUGUGAGGCUCGAGCUUCGGCGAACUAUUUCAGAAAGCUUCUGCAUACGAGGCACGUGGGCGAGUGUAAAAUCUGAAUUAGAUCAGAUUUUUAUUUCUAGUAUCAUCUCAAUAUUUUCGGUCAGAUUUUGCGGUCUUUUAUUGAACAGACCUCAGUUAGGUUGAUUUCCAAGCAUUCCAAGUUCCCCAAACUUUGUUUUCCUUGGGUAAAAUCAGUUGACAUGUAUUUGCUAAUUCUGGUGUUAGAUUACUGCUAAAAUUUUGAUCAAAUUCUUCUCUCUUUGGCUUGGUUGACCGUUCACUCUUAGUGAAAAAUUAGUUUGAUUGGAUCAACCAAGCUCUAUUAACUCUUGAACAUCUAAAAAUUUGUUGGCAUAAAUCUACUCCGUGAAAGUUUGUUGGUUUAACUUCUUAAUUUAUUUUUGUUAUAUUGAGUAUUUAAUUAGGACAGUGACCGAUCAUAAUCGAGUAACUCAAAGUUCUGAAGUUCUUGGUGUUUCUAGUCUAUCAUCUGCUAAAAUGAAUUUGGUUUCAGUCGAGGAGUUCGCUAAUUUCUCUCGAUAUCAAAAAUCCACUACAGUUACUGCUUUUACUAUGUCCGAUAAAAUAUGUCUUGUUAUCGCUUCAAAUAAAUGGGCCAUCGAUUCAGGUGCUAUAAAUCACUUGACAAGUAAUCCUAUAUAUUUUCAAGCUUUCAACCACCAAAAGCACCAUCUCCCAUUAUUGUAGUUGACGGAUCAACUCGUAAUAGUGGUUGAUCUGGGACUAUUAAGACAACCUCCUUAUUACCUUGUCAUCUGUGUUAAUUCUAACAAAAUUGGAUUUCAAUUUGAUAUAUGUCAACAAACUUAUCAAAGACCUUAAUUGUUAUAUCUCGUUCGUUUUCGAUCAUUGUUUGUUUUGUGAUCUUAUAACGAAUCAGAUAACUGAAAAAAUGACAUUUAUAUGAUGAUCUCUACAUCAUCGAUGAAUGAGAGUCUCGAUCUAUUGCCUGCUCCAGUGUCAUAUCUCUAUUUGAAGCACAUUGUCGAUUGUGACAUCCUUCUUUACCUUUGUUGAAGAAGCCUUGUCCACAAUUUCUGAAUAUUUCUUCCUUAGACCGUGAGUCAUGUCGAUUUGCAAAACACAAUCGUAUUUUGUUAGGUCCAAGGAUUAAUAAUCAAGUUGCGUUAACUUUUGAGUUAGUUCAUUCUGUAGUUAAAGGACCAUGUCCAGUUGUUUCUAAAACAGGGGACAAAUACUUUGUCACUUUUGUAGAUGAUUUUUCUUGAAUGACCUGGAUUUACUUUAUGAAGAGUCGACCUGAAGCAUUUACUCAUUUUUCUGCAUUUUGUGCUGAAGUCAAAACUCAAUUCAAUGCCUCAAAUUUGUAUUCUAAGGAGCGAUAAUGCUAAAGAAUAGAAGUAUUUAGAUCAUAAAACAACAUGGUAUUCUUUAUCAGUCUUCAUGUUUUGAUACACCCUCUAAAAUGGAGGUGUUGAGAGGAAGAAUAGGCAUCUAGGUAAGAUAGCUGGGGCUCUUUUGUUCCAAAUGAAGGUUUCUAAAAAUUUUUGGGCUGAUGCUGUCUCUACUGCUUGUUAUUUGAUAAAUUGCAUGCCAUCUAAUGAGCUUGCUAGUAAUAUGCCUUUUAAACUUCUUUCUCUAAAUAAGUCACUAUUUUCAAUGGGACUUUAGGUGUUUAGAAGCACAUGUUGUGUUCGAGACGCUUGACCAUAUUGUUACAAAGUUGGACCCCGAGGCAUUGAAGUGUGUUUUCUUGGGUUAUUCUUGCCUUAAAAGGGGAUAUCAAUAUUAUUCUACUGAGCUUGGUAUGGUGUCAACUGAUGUGGUAUUUUCUGAGACUACACCAUUCUUCUAUGCACCUCUCAAUUCUACAAGUCAGGGGGAGGAAAAAAGAGUGGUUAAUCUACCAGGUUACUCGUGUUGUGAUAGAAAAGUCAGAAGAUGUUCUUCCCUAUCCUAGUCUUUUGUUGAGCACCAAUCCACUAUUGUUCCAUCAGCACCUAUUAAAUAUGUGCCAACAAGACCGCUUAUUGUUCAAGUUUACUUGAGGAGGCGGAAAAUCGAUGAUACAAUUCCUUUAUCAUCAGAUGUUACUCUGCUUGAUUCUCCAUAAAAUCUUGACCUCCAUAUUUCUCUUCAAAAAGUACACGUCAGUGUAAGUCCGCAUAUUUCUUUGCUAACAUUGUCUCUUAUGACCACUUAUCAGUUGCAUCUAGUCGUAUGAUAUCCUCUCUAGACUCUAUCUCUAUUUCUAAAACAGUGAAAGGUGCCUUGAACCAUGCAUCUUAGAUGGCAUGAUGCAAUGGUUGAGGAGAUAUAUGCUUUAGAUAAAAAUCACACUUGCAAUUUGGUAGAUUACCAAAAGGAGCAGUUGGAUGCAAAUGGAUCUUUGCGGUGAAAGAUAAUCUCGAUGGCUUUGUUGCAAGACUUAAGGCCAGACUUGUGUCAAUAAGCUAUAACCAGACUUAUGGUGUAGAUUAUUAUGACACCUUCUCCGCGGUAGAAAAGCUCACUUCUGUUCUCUUGUUCAUUUCAUUGGUUGCUUCUCAGCAUUGAACCUUACAUCAAUUGAAUAUCAAAAAUGCAUUUCUUCAUGGUGAUCCCAAUGAAAAAGUGUAUAUGGAGCAACCACCUGGAUUUGUGGCUCAGGGGAAGUAUGAGAAAGUUUGUCAUCUGAAAAAAUCUCUAUAUGGUCUAAAGUGAACUCCUCGUGCUUGGUUUGGAAAAUUUAGCGAUGUAUUUCAGCAAUUUGCGUUGAAGAAAAGCAAGUGUGAUGACUCGGUUUUCUAUAGAUAGUCAACCGUUGGUAUUAUUCUUUUAAUUGUUUAUGUUGACGAUAUUGAUAUUUUAGGAGAUGAUUGUGUGAGAAGAAACUUCUUACAUGCCAAGUUUCGUACCAAAUAUUUGGGGUAACUGAAAUACUGCUUGGGUUUCGAAGUAGCAAGAAACAAAUUUUCUUAUCCCAAAGAAAGUAUAUGUACUUGAUUUACUCGCAGAAACUCAAUAUUUGGGAGCCAAACCAUGUUGCCCACCAAUGGUUCCUAAUGCUCAUCUUAUUAAAGAUGAUGGUGAUCCUCUUGAUGAUCCAUAAAGAUAUGAGAAAUUAGUUGAGAAAAUGAACUACUUCACAGUGACACAUCAAGAUAUUGCAUAUGCAGUCAAUAUUGUUAGUCAAUAUAUGUCAGAACCGACUUUCAAACAUUGCGCAGCCUUGGAACAGAUCUUGUGUUACUUGAAAUGAGCUCCUGGCCUUGGCAUUUUGUAUAGCGACCACGGGCAUACUCUUAUUGAGUGUUUUGUGGAUGUUGAUUAGGCUGUAUCAAAAAUUGAUAGAAGAUCUCCUACUGGAUUUUGCGUUUUUGUUUUGGUAUCUUGGAGGAGUAAGAAACAAACUGUUGUAUCUCGAUCUAGUGUAGAAUCUAGUAUAGAGCUAUGACUCAAUCCACAUGUAAAAUACUAUGGAUUCAUCACCUUUUAGUUGAUAUCAGUUUGAACCCUUUAUCUCCAGCAAAACUUUGGUGUGAUAAUGAGGCUGCUCUGCACAUUGCCUCAAAUUCAGUGUACCAUGAAUGUACGAAACACAUUGAGGUUGACUGUCACGUUGUUCGUGAAAAGAUCUAAGAGAACAUGAUUUCUACCGGAUAUGUAAAGACAUGAGAAUAAUUGAGUGAUAUAUUUACGAAGACGGGUGGGAUAUCUUUGUAGCGAGUUUGGCAUGAUUAAUAUCUAUCCUCUAGAGAAUGUACAAAGACUUAUUUUCCUAUACAUAACACAUUCUCAACACAAUCAUAGAUAGAGAUAUUUUUGGAAUUUUCUGAUUUUGUUUUCCUUAGAUAGAUUAUUUUUGUAUACGUAUAAAUAACUCUCCUUUUUGGAUUAUUAAUAAAACAUUGAAGAUUACUCCAUCCUCUAUGUAUUUUAAAUGCAGUAAAUUUUUUCAAUUUUAUCUCUCCUAAAUGGUUCGGACUGAGUCAGUCCACAUGGAUAAACUCAAUAAUGGUAAAGAACUAUAAUGAUAUUUUGAUCAAGAUAGAGCUAUGACUUUGUAUAAAUAAUCAUCAGGUUGAUAUUUUUGCUUCUCCCUGAGUAAGAUAUAUACGAAGUAAAUUUUUUAGUGCCCCUACAGGUUAACAGACAACUAUUAUUUAUUAGAAAUCUAGAAAGAUUUGCAAGUUGUUUUCAUCCUUGAGGUUUAAAUUAUCUUCCAGUUUAUUUUCCUCUUUUUCUCAAGUUUCACACUUCUGUUUUGGUGAAAAUCAUGCAUUAGUGCUUAAUAUUGGUGCAUCCAGAUUCUUCAAAUCCUGAGUUCGCCUUUGAUCAAAAGAAUAGGGAACAAUAUGGGUACCUUUUCUUGGGGAGAAAUGGGAGAAUGAUGGGUUAAUGGUUCAGCAGGAGGAGAAUGUUGAUAAAGUUGAAUAUCAAGACAACUGAUGGAUUAUGACGUGGAGCAGUGCUUCCGCAAUAAAGAAUUCAUCAAAGUGUUCAUGGCAAUUGAAUAAGGAACUGAAGAUUUGUCAGUAGGUACCUCUGUUCCUCUUCAUAGUGGUUCUCUAUCAGGAAAUUCAUCACUGGUCGGAAAAGGCAUUGACUAUAAUCACCCGUUAUUCCUCAGCCCUACUGAUGAGCUUUACAGUGAGAAGGUGAAAGAUGUUGGUAGAAUAGAAGGAGGUUUGUACCUACUGUUGAGACAACUAAAUAUAGAAACUGUCAACUCCAGGAAAUCUGCAUUGUUAGUUACACAAUUGUCUCCAUCUGCUAAAAAGUCUGAUAUAGAGAUAUGGCACAAUCGAUUGGGGCAUGUAUCACCUGCAGUACUAGCUAGGAUUUUCUCUAUAAAUAAGCAAAACAUGUCUAAUCUCUCUCAGUUUCUAGUUUGUCCAUAUGCCAAACAAUCAAGAGGUAGUUUUCCUACUACUAGUAUCAGAAGUAAUUCCUGUUUUGAUUUGCUUCAUGUUGUUGAUGUGUGGGGGUCCUUAUAAUACUCCAACUAUUGAUGGCAACAAGUACUUUUUGACAAUUGUGGAUAAUUUUUCAAAAAAGUCUUGGUUAUUUCUGCUUAAACUCAAGUCUGAUGUGUGUGUGUGGCAUUGCAAAUUUACUUACAUAUGUUGAAACUCAGUUUAAUAAAGCUAUAAAGGUGAUCAAAAUUGAUAAUGCCACUGAGUUUGUUAACUUAGUGUGCACUCAUAUGUUUCAAAGAAAGAGGGAUUAUACAUCAAAGUACUUGUCCUUACACUCCUCACCAAAAUAGAAUGGUUGAGCGAAAACAUAGACACUUACUAGAGAUAACCAGGGCCCUAAGGUUUCAAGCAAAAUUGCCUUUGAAGUAUUGGGGAUAUUGUGUGCUAGCUACGACUUAUAUCAUAAAUAGGUUGCCUAGUAGUGCUAUCAAUUUUCAAACUCAUUAUGAGAGAUUAUAUGGGAGAGUACCAGAUCUUGCUCAUUUAAGGACACUAGGGUGUUUAUGCUUUGCUAAGAAUCUGACUGAACAUGACAAGAUGCUCUUAAGGUCUAAGGCUGCAGUCCACAUGGGGUAUUCAGAUAUACAGAAGGGGUAUGUAUUGUUGGAUCUCACAAGUGCUUCAUUUUUCACUAGCAGAGAUGUGUUGUUCAGAGAAGACAUCUUUCCUUUCUCACAAAUGGAUGAGUAUGCUUCUAUUAAGUUCCCUACGAUUCUCGAUCCUUUGUCUAUUCCAGAUGUGUUGCUCCCUCUUCCAGACUCUUUAGUCUCCACUAGACUCUUCAAAUUGAUUUAUCAGAAGAAUUUGCACCUGAGCAGAUUGUUGUAGAUAUAGACACCACAGAGGAUGUUUUUAAAGACUCUACUAUUCCUGAUGAAUCUAACAUAGAUACUACAGUUUCAGCUACUAGAAGAUCCUCUAGGACUACACAUCCUCCAUCUUGGUUGAAAGACUUUAUGUACUUAACUACCACUAGGGGUGUAAAGUAUCCCUUACAACAUCAUAUGACUCACUUAUCGCCUACAUAUCAAUGUUAUAUUGCUGCCACCUCUAUCAUCAAAGAACCUACCACCUCUUUUGAGGAUGUUAAGGAUCAUAGGUGGGUUGAUGGCAUGCAGACUGAGAUAAAAGCUUUGGAUAGCAAUCAUACUUGGAAAAUUUCUGAUUUACCACCUGGCAAGAAACUAUUGGUUGUAGGUGGAUAUACAAAGUAAAAUAAAAGUCUACUGGUGAGAUUAAAAGAUUCAAAGCAAGGUUGGUAGCCAAAGGGUAUAGUCAGCACCAGGGGAUUGAUUAUCAUGAAACUUUUUCUCCUGUUGUUAAAAUGGUGACAGUCAAAACAAUCAUUUCCUUGGCUACAGCUAGACAUUGGCACAUUCAUCAAAUGGAUGUGUUUAAUACUUUCUUACAAAGUGAUUUGGAAGAUGAGAUAUACAUGCAACUUCCACAAGGUUUUGUCAGUAAAAAGGAGAAAGUGUGUAGACUUACCAAGUCCUUAUAUGGGCUUAAACAAAGCACCUAGACAAUGGAACCAUAAGCUGACUGAGGCUCUUAUUAAGCUAUAGUUCAAACAGAGUCAAUAUGAUUAUUCAUUGUUUAUCAACUCCUCAGAAGAGGGAAUCAUUUUGGUACUUGUAUAUGUGGAUGACAUUUGUAACUGGCAGCAACUUGAAGAUACUAGAGGAUACAAAGAGGGCCUUGCAACAAGAAUUCAAAAUGAAAGAUUUAGGGGAACUAAAAUAUUUUUUGGGCAUUGAGAUCACUAGAUCUGCUGAUGGUAUCCUAAUGCAUCAGAGGAAGUAUACUAUUGAGUUAAUUUCUGAGGUUGGAAUGAUAGCAGCUAGACCUGCAAGCACACCCAUUGACAUGAAUGUCAAUAUAACUUCCGAACAGUAUGACGAUCAUAUAAAUCAACAACAAGCAAAAGUUGUUGAUGAUCCUUUGAUAGAUCAGACCAAGUAUCAAAGAUUGAUAGGUUAGUUGUUAUACUUGAAUAUGACAUGUAACAUCUCUAAAAUAACUUAGGUGAAAGUAGGGCCUAACGUGUGUGUCAUAAAUUCUUGAAGUGCUUAUAUGGUUUAAAAUAAUGUUUUGAGGCAGUGUCUAAAGAUUUGGUUAAGUAUGAAGUCAAACGUCAAGGAACGAUCAAGACGUUCGACAACUAGUCACUUAUGCCUUAUGUGUUUUCAUGUGCUUAUAUGCGUGUAAUGACUUUAUGAGGUCUUUAUAUGGCUGAUAAUGGUGUUCAGAGUCAGCAUGUUGAGUUUGUUAAGGUUUGGAGGUCAAACGUCCAAGAACGUCUGGUGACGUUCAAAAGAUAGCCUUUGAACGUCCUUGUGAGUUUGGGUGUGUUUUAGCAUGUUGCGUGGCUUGUUUGAUGUUGAACUGGAUUGGUGAUGUUCCUAAGACCUAGACGUGCGUGUCUAGGGGUUUAAUAUCUGGGUACAAUCUUACCUAGGAUCCACAAGGGGCCUUACAGGAGGACCCAAACUCAAGACUUGAUGUUGCAUGGCAAUUUGCAUGCAGUGCCAAACGACGACCCAAACGAUGGCCAGCCGAUGGAACGACGGCUCGUCGACUUGGGGAGUCGAUGGAGAUGAAAGUCUGGGAGUUGCAGACCAACCUACGGGCACCAAUCGAUGGAUGUAGCCCAGUCGACGGUUCGUUGACGGGCAACCGUCAAUAGGCCUGCAAAACUACCAGCUUCACUGUUAAAGACUUGAGGUUUUUGGAAAAUUCACCCCUAGUCUUAUAAAAUAGGAGGACGAUUAUUUUAAGUGUGUAUGGGUAUUUUAAGAUCAUUUAAGUCAUUAACCCUAGCACCUAGAUCAAAACCUACUCCCUCCCAAAGUUUCUCAAAAACCUCCGUGAGAGCUCAAGGUGAAGAUGGAGCUUAAUGAUGGAUCUUCAAUGGAUUUUCUUGCUCAAUUCUAUUUGGAUUAUUCUAAUAAGGAAAAUGGAAGUCUUGAUAUGCCAUGGAGGAUGGAUAGGUUUCUAAGGGUUGAAGAUGAAGUAUUGGUGAGUUCUCAUCGAUUCAAGGACAAUAUCCACACGUUCUUUUAUGUUUAUAUCUUGCAUGAGCUUAGUCCCAAGUGUUGUGUACUCCAAAGUUUAGAUGGUUCAAUGAGACAUUGUAAAGAUUUAUUGUUUUUAAUGAAAGUCUUCCGCUUGCAUAUAUUA
This is a non-coding RNA of Solanum lycopersicum (tomato), 8988 nucleotides long. The record is from RefSeq and is a predicted model, not a curated record. Lineage: Eukaryota; Viridiplantae; Streptophyta; Magnoliopsida; Solanales; Solanaceae.